AUCCUCUGACACCCCUAGAGAUAGGGCUUUCCCUUCGGGGACAGAGUGACAGGUGGUGCAUGGUUGUCGUCAGCUCGUGUCGUGAGAUGUUGGGUUAAGUCCCGCAACGAGCGCAACCCUUGAUCUUAGUUGCCAGCAUUCAGUUGGGCACUCUAAGGUGACUGCCGGUGACAAACCGGAGGAAGGUGGGGAUGACGUCAAAUCAUCAUGCCCCUUAUGACCUGGGCUACACACGUGCUACAAUGGACAGAACAAAGGGCUGCGAGACCGCAAGGUUUAGCCAAUCCCACAAAUCUGUUCUCAGUUCGGAUCGCAGUCUGCAACUCGACUGCGUGAAGCUGGAAUCGCUAGUAAUCGCGGAUCAGCAUGCCGCGGUGAAUACGUUCCCGGGCCUUGUACACACCGCCCGUCACACCACGAGAGUUUGCAACACCCGAAGUCGGUGAGGUAACCUUUAUGGAGCCAGCCGCCGAAGGUGGGGCAGAUGAUUGGGGUGAAGUCGUACAAGGGGUAACC
Molecule: ribosomal RNA, 516 nt
Filed under: Bacillus altitudinis
Lineage: Bacteria; Bacillati; Bacillota; Bacilli; Caryophanales; Bacillaceae
Description: bacterial SSU rRNA
Rfam family: Bacterial small subunit ribosomal RNA
Source: RNAcentral